GAUGAACGCUGGCGGCGUGCCUAAUACAUGCAAGUCGAGCGAACGGACGGGACUCUUGCUUGUCUUAUGUUAGCGGCGGACGGGUAAGUAACACGAGUAUAACCUACCUUUAAGACUGGGAUCACUUCGGGAAACCGGAUCUAAUACCGGAUAAUAUUUUGAACCUCAUGGUUCAACAGUGAAAGACGGUCUUGCUGUCACUUAUUGAUGGAUCCGCGCUGCAUUAGCUAGUUGGUAAGGUAACGGCUUACCAAGGCAACGAUGCAUAGCCGACCUGAGAGGGUGAUCGGCCACACUGGAACUGAGACACGGUCCAGACUCCUACGGGAGGCAGCAGUAGGGAAUCUUGCGCAAUGGGCGAAAGCCUGACGGAGCAACGCCGCGUGAGUGAUGAAGGUCUUCGGAUCGUAAAACUCUGUUAGUAGGGAAGAACAUAUGUGUAAGUAACUGUGCACAUCUUGACGGUACCUAAUCAGAAAGCCACGGCUAACUACGUG
RNAcentral lists this ribosomal RNA (497 nucleotides) under uncultured bacterium. RNAcentral describes it as "partial 16S ribosomal RNA". It matches the Rfam family "Bacterial small subunit ribosomal RNA", at positions 28 to 507 of the family's 1533-position model. The record is from RNAcentral.